RNAcentral lists this ribosomal RNA (490 nucleotides) under uncultured bacterium. RNAcentral's name for it is "partial 16S ribosomal RNA". It matches the Rfam family "Bacterial small subunit ribosomal RNA", at positions 28 to 507 of the family's 1533-position model. The record is from RNAcentral.
GAUGAACGCUCGCUACAGGCUUAACACAUGCAAGUCGCGGGGCAGCAUGGGGGUUGCUUGCAACUCCCGAUGGCGACCGGCGCACGGGUGAGUAACGCGUAUCCAACCUGCCCUUCACCACGGGAUAACCCGGCGAAAGUCGGACUAAUACCGUAUGUUGUCCAUUGACGGCAUCCGAUUUGGACGAAGGGCUUUCCGGUGAAGGAUGGGGAUGCGUCCGAUUAGCCAGACGGCGGGGUAACGGCCCACCGUGGCUACGAUCGGUAGGGGUUCUGAGAGGAAGGUCCCCCACACUGGAACUGAGACACGGUCCAGACUCCUACGGGAGGCAGCAGUGAGGAAUAUUGGUCAAUGGGCGUAAGCCUGAACCAGCCAAGUAGCGUGCAGGAUGACGGCCCUAUGGGUUGUAAACUGCUUUUAUGCGGGGAUAAAGUGGCCCACGUGUGGGCUUUUGCAGGUACCGCAUGAAUAAGGACCGGCUAAUUCCGUG